CUCACUUCUCAGUCUUUUGGCUAAGAUCAAGUGUAGUAUCUAUUCUAAUAAUUUUAAUAAUAAUAGACAAUGUAUCACACAUCACCUGAGAAGAGCAUAACCAUU
RNAcentral lists this small nuclear RNA (105 nucleotides) under Colius striatus (speckled mousebird). RNAcentral's name for it is "U2 spliceosomal RNA". It matches the Rfam family "U2 spliceosomal RNA". Rfam says of the family: U2 is a small nuclear RNA (snRNA) component of the spliceosome (involved in pre-mRNA splicing). Complementary binding between U2 snRNA (in an area lying towards the 5' end but 3' to hairpin I) and the branchpoint sequence (BPS) of the intron results the bulging out of an unpaired adenosine, on the BPS, which initiates a nucleophilic attack at the intronic 5' splice site, thus starting the first of two transesterification reactions that mediate splicing. Lineage: Eukaryota; Metazoa; Chordata; Aves; Coliiformes; Coliidae. The record is from Rfam by way of RNAcentral.